This 256-nucleotide ribosomal RNA is filed under the name uncultured bacterium. Its description in RNAcentral is "partial small subunit ribosomal RNA". It matches the Rfam family "Bacterial small subunit ribosomal RNA", at positions 26 to 285 of the family's 1533-position model. The record is from RNAcentral.
AGGACGAACGCUGGCGGCGUGCUUAACACAUGCAAGUCGAGCGGAAAGGCCCUUUCGGGGGUACUCGAGCGGCGAACGGGUGAGUAACACGUGAGUAACCUGCCCUGGACUUUGGGAUAACCCUCGGAAACGGGGGCUAAUACCGGAUAUGACACGUUCUCGCAUGGGGGUGUGUGGAAAGUUUUUCGGUCUGGGAUGGGCUCGCGGCCUAUCAGCUUGUUGGUGGGGUGAUGGCCUACCAAGGCGACGACGGGUA